CACAAUGAAGACUCUGGUGUUUGUGUCUCUCGUGGGAUUAUUCCUCCACGACACGACGGCAGAGAUGCACUCUCUGAAGAAUUUCUACACGGCGUCUUCUGAAGUCACAAACUUCCCAGAGUUUGUGAUUGUUGGGAUGGUUGAUGAUUU
Molecule: non-coding RNA, 150 nt
Organism: Labrus bergylta (ballan wrasse)
Lineage: Eukaryota; Metazoa; Chordata; Actinopteri; Labriformes; Labridae
Source: RefSeq, a predicted model, not a curated record